AUUGAACGCUGGCGGCAUGCCUUACACAUGCAAGUCGAACGGUAACAGGUCUUCGGAUGCUGACGAGUGGCGAACGGGUGAGUAAUACAUCGGAACGUGCCUAGUAGUGGGGGAUAACUACUCGAAAGAGUGGCUAAUACCGCAUGAGAUCUACGGAUGAAAGCAGGGGAUCGCAAGACCUGGUGCUACUAGAGCGGCCGAUGGCAGAUUAGGUAGUUGGUGGGAUAAAAGCUUACCAAGCCGACGAUCUGUAGCUGGUCUGAGAGGACGAUCAGCCAGACUGGGACUGGGAAACGGCCCAGACUCCUACGGGAGGCAGCAGUGGGGAAUUUUGGACAAUGGGCGCGAGCCUGAUCCAGCAAUGCCGCGUGCAGGAUGAAGGCCUUCGGGUUGUAAACUGCUUUUGUACGGAACGAAAAGCCCCGGGUUAAUACCCUGGGGUCAUGACGGUACCGUAAGAAUAAGCACCGGCUAACUACGUGCCAGCCGCCGCCGUAA
This 498-nucleotide ribosomal RNA is filed under the name uncultured bacterium. RNAcentral's name for it is "partial 16S ribosomal RNA". It matches the Rfam family "Bacterial small subunit ribosomal RNA", at positions 30 to 523 of the family's 1533-position model. The record is from RNAcentral.